This 815-nucleotide ribosomal RNA is filed under the name uncultured bacterium. Its description in RNAcentral is "bacterial SSU rRNA". It matches the Rfam family "Bacterial small subunit ribosomal RNA", at positions 8 to 872 of the family's 1533-position model. The record is from RNAcentral.
AGAGUUUGAUCCUGGCUCAGAACGAACGCUGGCGGCAGGCUUAACACAUGCAAGUCGAACGCCCCGCAAGGGGAGUGGCAGACGGGUGAGUAACGCGUGGGAACGUGCCCUUCGGUUCGGAAUAACUCAGGGAAACUUGAGCUAAUACCGGAUACGUGCGAGAGCAGAAAGAUUUAUCGCCGAAGGAUCGGCCCGCGUCCGAUUAGCUAGUUGGUGAGGUAAUGGCUCACCAAGGCGACGAUCGGUAGCUGGUCUGAGAGGAUGAUCAGCCACAUUGGGACUGAGACACGGCCCAAACUCCUACGGGAGGCAGCAGUGGGGAAUAUUGGACAAUGGGCGCAAGCCUGAUCCAGCCAUGCCGCGUGAGUGAUGAAGGCCUUAGGGUUGUAAAGCUCUUUCGCCAGGGACGAUAAUGACGGUACCUGGAUAAGAAGCCCCGGCUAACUUCGUGCCAGCAGCCGCGGUAAUACGAAGGGGGCUAGCGUUGUUCGGAUUUACUGGGCGUAAAGCGCACGUAGGCGGAUUUUUAAGUCAGGGGUGAAAUCCCGAGGCUCAACCUCGGAACUGCCCUUGAUACUGGAAGUCUCGAGUCCGGGAGAGGUGAGUGGAACUGCGAGUGUAGAGGUGAAAUUCGUAGAUAUUCGCAAGAACACCAGUGGCGAAGGCGGCUCACUGGCCCGGUACUGACGCUGAGGUGCGAAAGCGUGGGGAGCAAACAGGAUUAGAUACCCUGGUAGUCUACGCCGUAAACGAUGGAUGCUAGCCGUUGGGGAGCUUGCUCUUCAGUGGCGCAGCUAACGCUUUAAGCAUCCCGC